Molecule: ribosomal RNA, 468 nt
Filed under: uncultured bacterium
Lineage: Bacteria
Description: partial 16S ribosomal RNA
Rfam family: Bacterial small subunit ribosomal RNA
Source: RNAcentral
GACGAACGCUGGCGGCGUGCUUAACACAUGCAAGUCGAACGGAAAGGCCCUGCUUUUGUGGGGUGCUCGAGUGGCGAACGGGUGAGUAACACGUGAGUAACCUGCCCUUGACUUUGGGAUAACUUCAGGAAACUGGGGCUAAUACCGGAUAGGAGCUCCUGCUGCAUGGUGGGGGUUGGAAAGUUUCGGCGGUUGGGGAUGGACUCGCGGCUUAUCAGCUUGUUGGUGGGGUAGUGGCUUACCAAGGCUUUGACGGGUAGCCGGCCUGCGAGGGUGACCGGCCACAUUGGGACUGAGAUACGGCCCAGACUCCUACGGGAGGCAGCAGUGGGGAAGAGUGCACAAGGGGCGGAAGCCUGAUGCAGCAACGCCGCGUGCGGGAUGACGGCCUUCGGGUUGUAAACCGCUUUCGCCUGUGACGAAGCGUGAGUGACGGUAAUGGGUAAAGAAGCACCGGCUAACUACGUG